GAUGAACGCUGGCGGCGUGCCUAAUACAUGCAAGUCGAGCGAACAGACGAGGAGCUUGCUCCUCUGACGUUAGCGGCGGACGUGUGAGUAACACGUGGAUAACCUACCUAUAAGACUGGGAUAACUUCGGGAAACCGGAGCUAAUACCGGAUAAUAUAUUGAACCGCAUGGUUUAAUAGUGAAAGACGGUUUUGCUGUCACUUAUAGAUGGAUCCGCGCCGCAUUAGCUAGUUGGUAAGGUAACGGCUUACCAAGGCAACGAUGCGUAGCCGACCUGAGAGGGUGAUCGGCCACACUGGAACUGAGACACGGUCCAGACUCCUACGGGAGGCAGCAGUAGGGAAUCUUCCGCAAUGGGCGAAAGCCUGACGGAGCAACGCCGCGUGAGUGAUGAAGGUCUUCGGAUCGUAAAACUCUGUUAUUAGGGAAGAACAAAUGUGUAAGUAACUAUGCACGUCUUGACGGUACCUAAUCAGAAAGCCACGGCUAACUACGUG
This 497-nucleotide ribosomal RNA is filed under the name uncultured bacterium. RNAcentral describes it as "partial 16S ribosomal RNA". It matches the Rfam family "Bacterial small subunit ribosomal RNA", at positions 28 to 507 of the family's 1533-position model. The record is from RNAcentral.